Molecule: ribosomal RNA, 225 nt
Organism: Subdoligranulum variabile DSM 15176
Lineage: Bacteria; Bacillati; Bacillota; Clostridia; Eubacteriales; Oscillospiraceae
Rfam family: Archaeal large subunit ribosomal RNA
Source: Rfam
GAUUGUACGUUGCGAGCUUAAGCACUUCAGGUGCGGAGGCGUAGCGAGAGCGAGUCUGAAUAGGGCGUUCAGUAGCGUGCAAUGGGCCCGAAACCGGGUGACCUACCCAUGAUCAGGCUGAAGUGAAAGUAAAAUUUCAUGGAGGGCCGAACCGACCUCCGUUGAAAAGGCGGCGGAUGAAUUGUGGGUAGCGGAGAAAUUCCAAUCGAACUCGGAGAUAGCUGG